GUGGGGAAUUUUGGACAAUGGGCGCAAGCCUGAUCCAGCCAUGCCGCGUGUGUGAAGAGGGUCUUCGGAUUGUAAAGCACUUUAAGUUGGGAGGAAGGGCAGUAAGUUAAUACCUUGCUGUUUUGACGUUACCGACAGAAUAAGCACCGGCUAACUUCGUGCCAGCAGCCGCGGUAAUACGAAGGGUGCAAGCGUUAAUCGGAAUUACUGGGCGUAAAGCGCGCGUAGGUGGUUUUGUAAGUUGGAGGUGAAAUCCCCGGGCUCAACCUGGGAACUGCCUCCAAAACUGCAGGACUAGAGUACGGUAGAGGGUAGUGGAAUUUCCUGUGUAGCGGUGAAAUGCGUAGAUAUAGGAAGGAACACCAGUGGCGAAGGCGACUACCUGGACUGAUACUGACACUGAGGUGCGAAAGCGUGGGGAGCAAACAGGAUUAGAUACCCUUGUAGUCC
RNAcentral lists this ribosomal RNA (450 nucleotides) under uncultured bacterium. RNAcentral's name for it is "bacterial SSU rRNA". It matches the Rfam family "Bacterial small subunit ribosomal RNA", at positions 354 to 796 of the family's 1533-position model. The record is from RNAcentral.